Prunus dulcis (almond) is the source of this 1596-nucleotide RNA transcript. It is a transcript of the gene named peptidyl-prolyl cis-trans isomerase CYP40, with no coding region annotated. Lineage: Eukaryota; Viridiplantae; Streptophyta; Magnoliopsida; Rosales; Rosaceae. The transcript has 10 exons. The record is from RefSeq and is a predicted model, not a curated record.
GACAUAAAUAAAUAGGGUUUUACUAACUCUGUUUCCCACUACAUUUGUCAUUUGAGAGAGAACUGGAAGAGACGCAAGAGAAUAGUCUGGAAGAACUCUACAAGGGAAACUCUGCUGAGAUGGGAAGGCCAAGGUGCUUUCUUGACAUUAGCAUAGGAGAAGAACUUGAAGGCCGGAUAGUGGUGGAGCUUUACAAUGAUGCGGUGCCUAAAACCGCCGAGAAUUUCAGAGCUCUCUGUACUGGUGAGAAGGGCAUUGGACCAAACACUGGUGCUCCUCUCCAUUACAAGGGAGUUCGUUUUCAUCGUGUUAUCAAAGGUUUUAUGAUUCAAGGGGGUGAUAUUUCUGCUGGAGAUGGUACUGGGGGAGAAUCUAUAUAUGGAUUGAAAUUUGAGGAUGAAAAUUUUGAAUUGAAACACGAAAGGAAAGGCAUGUUAUCGAUGGCUAAUUCUGGUCAGGACACCAAUGGGUCUCAGUUUUUCAUCACAACAACUCGCACUUCUCAUCUAGAUGGGAAACAUGUUGUUUUUGGGAAGGUAGUUAAAGGAAUGGGAGUUGUCCGUUCAAUUGAGCACAUAACCACUGCUGAUAGUGAUUGUCCCAAUGUUGAUGUUAUAAUUGUGGAUUGUGGAGAAAUUCCUGAGGGGGAAGAUGACGGAGUUUCUAAUCUUUUCAAAGAUGGUGAUAUUUAUCCUGAUUGGCCAGCUGAUAUUGAUGAGAGUCCUAUUGAUCUUUCUUGGUGGAUGACCUCUGUAGAGUCAAUUAAGGCUUUUGGUAAUGAAUAUUAUAAGAAACAAGACUAUAAAAUGGCUCUUAAAAAGUACCGAAAGUCUUUGCGCUAUCUGGAUAUUUGCUGGGAGAAAGAUGGAAUUGAUGAAGAGAGGAGUUCAAGUUUGAGAAAGACCAAGUCACAGAUUUUCACAAACAGCUCUGCUUGUAAGUUGAAAUUGGGGGACCUGAAAGGAGCACUGUUAGACACCGACUUUGCAAUGAGGGAUGGAGAAGAUAAUGUUAAGGCUUUGUUUCGCCAAGGUCAGGCAUACAUGGCGCUUAAUGAUAUUGAUGCUGCAGUUGAAAGCUUCAAAAGGGCAUUGGAUCUGGAGCCAACUGAUGCUGGAAUAAAGAAGGAGCUUGCCGCUGCAAAGAAGAAGAUUUCUGAUAGACGUGAUAAGGAGAAGAAGGCCUACAGCAAGAUGUUCCAAAAGUAGCACUUCGGCAGUCAACUGGCUGCCUUUACCUUGAAUUUACAAAUGCUUUGGAGUCCAAUCAUACCUAGUGUCAACUGGUUCAGACUUAUUUUGUCACAAGCCCUGAUUUUCUCGAGGGAAAAUCAGGUCGCUCCAGAUCAUAGGAGAAUAAGUCUGAUCCUUGCAAGAAAAUUUACCUGUAAAGAAUUAAAGCUUGAAGCUCAUCUAAUUGAACUUCUCCCCUCUUGUUUUUCUUUUUCCUAGCAAGACAGCGUUACUUUUUGGAACUUGCAAAAGGCCAAUGAGUUGUAACUUGAUCAAACGUUAAACCGAACAAUUUUGUCCUGUUACAUGCUGGAAGCAUUUGUUGAUAUGAUGGUUAGCUAGACAAACUUUCACUUGGGCCUCA